Non-coding RNA from Pelobates cultripes (western spadefoot toad), 271 nucleotides. NCBI's taxonomy places the organism in Eukaryota, Metazoa, Chordata, Amphibia, Anura, Pelobatidae. The record is from the annotation of a GenBank genome assembly.
UGGGUAUUGGUGCAUGCAAAGUAUGAGUUCCUAUUCUGAUAAUCGUAUAUACACGAGUCCCGUUGUGAAAGGAUUAAAGCACCGCUCCACACCCAUAAAGCACUUCAGCUUGCCGAAAUCUGCACUUUUAUAAAUCAAGUAACACCUUCAUGUUUGUUUGAUUCUUCCUGCCAUUAGGUGUAUUGAGCUGACAGAAGAGGCAGGCAUGCUCUGCAAGAAGGUACCUGCCUUCUCCCACAAGUUCCAGUGAGCCAUUGAGCGCGUGUCUACA